GCAGGGAAACAACCAAUCCACUGACUGAGAGCCUGCCUCUGUAGAGCCCUUAGGAAAGUUAAGGAAAAGGCACCAAAGAAAGAGAAGAGAGGAAAGUGCGAUACAUUACCUUUAACAGUUCAGUGCAGUGCUUCCAGAAUCUAAGUCCCAUACACCUGGCAGAGAAAUGAGGUCUUUUUCGAUGUUCAAGAAGUAAAGAGCUUGCCACUUCUUGCUGUUACUGUAUGUCUUCUUCACAAUCUCCAGAUGAGUUUUCCUGCGUUUUUGGUUUGGUUUUUUUUCCCCUUCUCCGGUUCCCCAGAAGAAAUCAAAAUUCCCUAUGUGGUAUUUCAGGUCCUUUCAGGCAGUGGCAGCAGCAGCAAGCUUGAAGAAGCUGGAUGGAGUGGGGAUGGACAACUCUGGUCAAAGAUUUGGAACUGGGCAACACUGGAUCACCAAGAUGAGGUGACAGAGAUGAAGUCUCAGGAUCUUCCUUUUCAGUUCCCCCCAUUUUCUCUCCCAAGAACCCCCUUUUUAACAUGUGUUUUCAUUGUUGCCAAAAC
Long non-coding RNA from Parus major (Great Tit), 542 nucleotides. Lineage: Eukaryota; Metazoa; Chordata; Aves; Passeriformes; Paridae. The record is from Ensembl.